GCUGGGCGUGGUGAUGCAUGCCUGUAAUCCCAGUUACUUGGAGGCUGAGACAGGAGGAGAGGCCUUUCGGGCUGUU
This 76-nucleotide small RNA is filed under the name Marmota monax (woodchuck). Lineage: Eukaryota; Metazoa; Chordata; Mammalia; Rodentia; Sciuridae. The record is from RNAcentral.